RNAcentral lists this microRNA precursor (201 nucleotides) under Oryza sativa Indica Group (long-grained rice). Its description in RNAcentral is "MIR812 microRNA precursor family". It matches the Rfam family "MIR812 microRNA precursor family". Lineage: Eukaryota; Viridiplantae; Streptophyta; Magnoliopsida; Poales; Poaceae. The record is from Rfam by way of RNAcentral.
AAUAAGUGUAGUUUUAUACUAUUCAUUUCCAACGUUUAACCGUUCGUCUUAUUUGAAAUUUUUUUAUAAUUACUAUUUUUAUUGUUAUUAGAUGAUAAAAUAUAAAUAGUACUUUAUAAUUUUUUUAAAAAAAAAUCAUAAAUUUUUCAAAUAAGACGGACGGUUAAACGUUGGAUACGGAUUUCUACGGCUGCACUUAUU